UUGAAGAGUUUGAUCAUGGCUCAGAUUGAACGCUGGCGGCAGGCCUAACACAUGCAAGUCGAACGGUAACAGGAAGCAGCUUGCUGCUUUGCUGACGAGUGGCGGACGGGUGAGUAAUGUCUGGGAAACUGCCUGAUGGAGGGGGAUAACUACUGGAAACGGUAGCUAAUACCGCAUAACGUCGCAAGACCAAAGAGGGGGACCUUCGGGCCUCUUGCCAUCGGAUGUGCCCAGAUGGGAUUAGCUAGUAGGUGGGGUAACGGCUCACCUAGGCGACGAUCCCUAGCUGGUCUGAGAGGAUGACCAGCCACACUGGAACUGAGACACGGUCCAGACUCCUACGGGAGGCAGCAGUGGGGAAUAUUGCACAAUGGGCGCAAGCCUGAUGCAGCCAUGCCGCGUGUAUGAAGAAGGCCUUCGGGUUGUAAAGUACUUUCAGCGGGGAGGAAGGGAGUAAAGUUAAUACCUUUGCUCAUUGACGUUACCCGCAGAAGAAGCACCGGCUAACUCCGUGCCAGCAGCCGCGGUAAUACGGAGGGUGCAAGCGUUAAUCGGAAUUACUGGGCGUAAAGCGCACGCAGGCGGUUUGUUAAGUCAGAUGUGAAAUCCCCGGGCUCAACCUGGGAACUGCAUCUGAUACUGGCAAGCUUGAGUCUCGUAGAGGGGUAGAAUUCCGGUGUAGCGGUGAAAUGCGUAGAGAUCUGGAGGAAUACCGGUGGCGAAGGCGGCCCCCUGGACGAAGACUGACGCUCAGGUGCGAAAGCGUGGGGAGCAAACAGGAUUAGAUACCCUGGUAGUCCACGCCGUAAACGAUGUCGACUUGGAGGUUGUGCCCUUGAGGCGUGGCUUCCGGAGCUAACGCGUUAAGUCGACCGCCUGGGGAGUACGGCCGCAAGGUUAAAACUCAAAUGAAUUGACGGGGGCCCGCACAAGCGGUGGAGCAUGUGGUUUAAUUCGAUGCAACGCGAAGAACCUUACCUGGUCUUGACAUCCACGGAAGUUUUCAGAGAUGAGAAUGUGCCUUCGGGAGCCGUGAGACAGGUGCUGCAUGGCUGUCGUCAGCUCGUGUUGUGAAAUGUUGGGUUAAGUCCCGCAACGAGCGCAACCCUUAUCCUUUGUUGCCAGCGGUCCGGCCGGGAACUCAAAGGAGACUGCCAGUGAUAAACUGGAGGAAGGUGGGGAUGACGUCAAGUCAUCAUGGCCCUUACGACCAGGGCUACACACGUGCUACAAUGGCGCAUACAAAGAGAAGCGACCUCGCGAGAGCAAGCGGACCUCAUAAAGUGCGUCGUAGUCCGGAUUGGAGUCUGCAACUCGACUCCAUGAAGUCGGAAUCGCUAGUAAUCGUGGAUCAGAAUGCCACGGUGAAUACGUUCCCGGGCCUUGUACACACCGCCCGUCACACCAUGGGAGUGGGUUGCAAAAGAAGUAGGUAGCUUAACCUUCGGGAGGGCGCUUACCACUUUGUGAUUCAUGACUGGGGUGAAGUCGUAACAAGGUAACCGUAGGGAACCUGCGGUUGGAUCACCUCCUU
Molecule: ribosomal RNA, 1534 nt
Filed under: Escherichia coli
Lineage: Bacteria; Pseudomonadati; Pseudomonadota; Gammaproteobacteria; Enterobacterales; Enterobacteriaceae
Description: bacterial SSU rRNA
Rfam family: Bacterial small subunit ribosomal RNA
Source: RNAcentral